GGGGCUAUAGCUCAGUUGGGAGAGCACCUGCUUUGCACGCAGGGGGUCGUCGGUUCGAAUCCGUCUAGCUCCACCA
RNAcentral lists this transfer RNA (76 nucleotides) under Alphaproteobacteria bacterium. RNAcentral's name for it is "tRNA-Ala". It matches the Rfam family "tRNA". From Rfam's summary of the family: Transfer RNA (tRNA) molecules are approximately 80 nucleotides in length. Their secondary structure includes four short double-helical elements and three loops (D, anti-codon, and T loops). RNAcentral also lists the same sequence under 2 other names. Lineage: Bacteria; Pseudomonadati; Pseudomonadota; Alphaproteobacteria. The record is from RNAcentral.